GCUCAUUUCCAAGUCUGCAAAACAAUCGUACGAUGAUGACAAUCCGAUGAUCCUUCGAAAAUAUUUGAACAAUUUCGAGGGGAAAAAAAAAAAAAGAAAAAAAAGAGAACAAGAAAAAAAGAAGGAAAGAAAAGGGUGCCGAAAACGCUCGAUAUGAACGCGCAUUUCUCGGAGUUGCGCAAUGUUAUUGACACUAUCGUAGUAGAGGAUCCAUUUGUGUAACGCAUUUAUCCAAGUGUUCCAUAUGCAUCGACUUGCAAAAUUACUACCAUUCGCGAAAAUCCAGAAAAGAGAAGGGGAUAGGUAGAGAGAGAGAGAGAGA
Long non-coding RNA from Vespa mandarinia (Asian giant hornet), 322 nucleotides. NCBI's taxonomy places the organism in Eukaryota, Metazoa, Arthropoda, Insecta, Hymenoptera, Vespidae. The record is from RefSeq and is a predicted model, not a curated record.